UACGUAGGUGGCGAGCGUUGUCCGGAUUUACUGGGCGUAAAGAGCUCGUAGGCGGUUUGUCGCGUCUGCUGUGAAAUCCCGAGGCUCAACCUCGGGCCUGCAGUGGGUACGGGCAGACUGGAGUGCGGUAGGGGAGAAUGGAAUUCCUGGUGUAGCGGUGGAAUGCGCAGAUAUCAGGAGGAACACCGAUGGCGAAGGCAGUUCUCUGGGCCGUAACUGACGCUGAGGAGCGAAAGCGUGGGGAGCGAACAGA
Molecule: ribosomal RNA, 253 nt
Filed under: uncultured bacterium
Lineage: Bacteria
Description: partial 16S ribosomal RNA
Rfam family: Bacterial small subunit ribosomal RNA
Source: RNAcentral